This 480-nucleotide ribosomal RNA is filed under the name Triticum aestivum (bread wheat). RNAcentral's name for it is "partial small subunit ribosomal RNA". The record is from RNAcentral. Lineage: Eukaryota; Viridiplantae; Streptophyta; Magnoliopsida; Poales; Poaceae.
GUUACUAAAGUACUUUUUCUGUAGACUAGCACCUUUGGAGAAGGAAACAAUCUCACAACAAACUAUAUUAUUAAGAUACUUGGUUUGUCUGAUUGUGCUAAUACCCUAGUGGGUGAUGAGUUGAGAAGAUGUAUAUCAGGAGGACAAAAGAAAAGAGCCACAAUCGAAGAGAUGCUAGUAGGUCUGGCACGAUGCUUCUUUAUGGAUGAUAUAUCAACAGGCCUAGAUAGCUCCACCACAUAUGAGAUUUUAAAAUUUGUCCAACAAAUGACUCAUCUGAUGGAUCUCACCAUGGUUAUUUCGUUGCUGCAACCACCUCCCGAGACAUUGGAAUUAUUUGAUGACAUUAUCCUAUUAUGCGAGGGUCAAAUUGUGUAUCAUGGUCCUCGAGAAAAUGCUAUCAAUUUUUUCGGAAUAAUGGGAUUCAAAUGCCCCGACAGCAAGAAUGUAGUUGAUUUCCUUCAAGAGGUACUAGAUUAA